AUGCUCCUUUAAAGAGAAAGGGGUUGUUUUGGUUUUCAACCUUUGGGCAACAAUUCAAACCAUGAUCUAUCUUUCCCCAAUCUACAUCUGCCUGCUCUCAGACUCACUCUUGUGGAUAAAAGCAUGGCUAAAAAUAGUAACCCAGAAAAAGCGAUGCAGACAAGAAGUAACACGGCGACAUGGUUCCAGGAUGGCUUGCAACUCACUGUGAAGCUCAGGAGCCAUGGUGGCCUGGAGUUUACAUCACCCCUGCCUUUGGUAUGCUGGCAUGACGAGUAUAAGAAUGACACUUGACUAGCAGGAGAGCUUCUUAAGGGCAGGGGACAAGCGAAGAAAGCUGUGGUUUCCUGUAACAGUCUUUAUCUGUUGCAAAUAGAAGUUUCUUUGAUGAGAAGCGGAGCUAUACUUACCCGUGGAUAUAAAGACACCCAGUACUGAACAAGACCAGACUUGCUCUAUUUGGUAUACAUAAUGAAGAGCCAACUUUCUCAGUUUUCUACUAAACUUAAGAGUUGUAAGCAGAAAAAUAAGAAUUCUAGUGUGUUGACCUAGCAGAGAAGAAUGCCAGAACAUCUGAGCACUUUCCAGCUUUGUUGACUGUGAAUAAAGCCACUAUCAACCUUCUUGUACAGUUGUGAAUGCUUUUUACAGAAAAUGUUUAGCCAUAAGCAUCCAAGAGUGGGAAUCCUAUACACUAUGGAUCUCAUGAAGCCUUGUCUGUUCUUAAACUUCCCAUGUAGCCAAGGUUAUCCUUCUACCCCUGAUCUUCUGGCCUCCACCUAGCAAGCACUGAAAUUUCAGUCAUGUAUCACCACAUCUGGCUUAAAUUUUUCAUUUGAACAUCGUUUCGUGGGUCAUCAGCUUCCUCAGAGGACUAUGGACGUAGCUCAUCUCUGUCCUGUGAGAUCGUUGGUCUUAGCUGAAAUGACUUAAAUGUUGAGAUCUGUCUGAUGCAACUGCUGGGAUCCUGUGUUCAGGCCUCAGUGUCUUUGCUAGGUAGGGUCUUCCACGUACUUUCUUCAUGUAGUUUUCUUGGACUUUCUCACAGCAAAAUGUCUCAGAAUAGUUAAAGUUCUUACCAAUGGCCAAUGUUUUAACUAAUAUUUUAUGUGCUACUCAGUAUAUAUAGAUAUUUUAGUGUAUUCUUUUAAAUAAUUUUGGCUGAAAAUUAAAUAAUCAACAAAAUAUGAGAUACUAAAUCACUCUGCACCAUAUGUGGCUGUUUAAAAAAAUUGACCACCCCUACUAAAUCUGGAGUUGACUGUGUUAAACUAAUAAUAGUUUUGACUGGCCUCAAAAAUCAAUCACAGCAAUUCUUUCACCUCAGCCUCCCAAGUGCUGAGAAGACAAGCAUGUGCCACAAUACAUUGCUUUAUUGUGUUUUAAAAUCAUGCAAAAUAAGAUUGUUAGCCAAGACUCUAAGCAUAGAGCAAACUCAGGUGGCACAGGGAAUGGACGGGCCCAGAACAGAAGUGAGGGAAACACUUGGUGAAGACCCUGGUGAGGCUCAGCUUUGGUAAUUGCUACUAACUAGGAACACGAUAACUGAAUUGGUUAAUUAAUUAGCAAUCUUUUGACAAGUUCAUGUAUUUCUACAUUGAUUGUAAUUGCUCCCAUUGACUCUCUCCUCCAGGUUCCAAUCAAACCAUUCCUCUUGUUAGCUGCACAGCUUCUACUUGUGAUUGGUUAAAAUAAAAUGAAUUAAUAAAAUGCAAAUUCAAAUGUGUUUAAAUUAUUGUUUGACAAACACAAUGAAAGCUCACUUGGACCCUUUUCAAACACCUUUCAACUUCCGCUUUAGGACUUU
Molecule: long non-coding RNA, 1807 nt
Organism: Rattus norvegicus (Norway rat)
Lineage: Eukaryota; Metazoa; Chordata; Mammalia; Rodentia; Muridae
Source: RefSeq, a predicted model, not a curated record